GAGGAGAGAGAGAGAACAGUUGAAUUUUCCUGUGCGACGUUGCAGGGUUCCUCCUGCAGAAAUGCAAUGUGAUUAACAGAACCCAAUAAGAAAGAAACAUAAAAAAUGUUCGACAGGAAGCCAUCAUUCAAUGAGUUGUCCGCACAAACAUGUAAACAAUAAUGGAAGUCCAUAUCCAUUGCCAUGUUCUAAUAAUUCUGUGUUGGAUCCUCUCCCCCCAUCUGCCCCCAGUGAUGAACUUGAUUGAGGAGCAACCUGACCACCGACAAAGAGGGAAUUCAUAUCUGAAUUGUGUAGAACUGAGGAGAAAUCAUUAGGUGCAUAUGCUAUUGGACUAUCACUCCUCUGAAUGUUGGCUGCUUUCCUUUCUGCAUCAAGAAAGUGACCAAGAGAAGGAGUGUGGUUUGUGUUAACAGCAUCAGUGCUCAACUUUGAGCAUAAUGAGAAGAACCAAUGUUUUGACUUGCAAUUCUUCUGGUCUCUUAAGGCUUCUGUUGUUCUUCUCCUGGCUGACCUUCUUGAGAGUUCUAAAAUGCUAGAAACUCCAAUCAAGCUCCCAAAUGUGAUGCUUUUGUCAUGGAAGAAAGAUCCAGUAGACUCCGUAUCAAGAUCUGAGGAAGAAUCGGUGGUGGAGCUAGGAGAACCAGUAAGCAAAGUGCUACAUGAAAUUGAUCCAUUGAAAUCCCGAUUUCUUAACAACCCAACUCUAGCAUUCACUGGUCUGAGGCCAAGAGGCCAGCCAUCUUCCUGCAGAACCAUGAGCCUGUGUUGUGUAUUCCCACUGGGAUUAAUUGAUGUAAGAGAGAAGUCCAGUGAGGUUACCUGAGAAAGAGAGAGAGAGAGAUCUAGAUACUCUAUUUUAAACUAAAAGGGAAGAGUUAAAAGACCAGAAGAAAAUAUGGAAAACGUUGAAAAGAGGUGUGCAGCUCCUCUCACAUCACAUGCUCUGUUGCCCAGCACAGCAGCAUUGCCUCUUCAAGCAGAGAGUCAGAAGAGUUCAAAAGCACAAAACACAAGCACAAGAGAGAGAGGAAGUGAAAGUGAUGUUUUACCAUUGUUAGCUGCAACUCUGGUUGAGUAGACUGUAGACCGAAUAUAUAGUGGGAAGGAGAGGAAACAGAAUAAUUUUUGUUCAGGGAUAAGGGAAAGUGAGACAUGGAAAUAGAGGAGGAAGAGGGACCAGCGUACUGUCUGGGGUGGAAGCCGACACUUUUAUAAUCUGACCAAAAUAUCCCUCGUAUUUUGUUUAAUUUCCCUUUUUAAUUUUUUUUUUCUCUAAUUGGCCUAAUUUCCGUUUCUCUUUCUGACUCUCUCCCUCGUUGGAUCAUCAACAAACAUAUAAAGCCGUACAUGUCAACUCAGCGAGUCUUCCUCCUGCUUUUUCUCUGUCCGAGUCUUGCUGGCUGAAUCUGAGUUGUUCACUCGCUCAUCUCUUCGCGAUGAAGAGUGGACUCGAGGUCUUCGAUUUCAAGGAAGAGGACGAGCUCGCUGAAUAUGCAGCUGGUAAAAUCCUCCGCAAGUUCAAAAACCCUAGCCUUGACAAUCCCGCCUUUUUGAAAUGCAACUUUCUCGAAUGCGGUACCGUUUCUCUUAUUCCCAGAAGCUUUCCUUGCCCUGUUUGGCCACCGAUUUUUUACACUUUUCGUUCACUGGUCUUUCCCAGGGUUUCCUUAUAUAGAACGUAACAGUGAAAGGACUGCAAUUUUAGUUGAAAUUAGUGAAUUCAGAGUUUAAUCUUUUUGGCAUUUGGUGUUCUAAAUUGCGACUGUUAUGCUGUGUAGACUGCAUUUGUAGACUGCAUUUUUUUUUUUCUCAAUUUUGAAUUCUGCUGUUCAUAUUAUUUGUCUUGUUUUACGUUUGAUGUCACUGUUCUGAUUCAAUGUGUUUAAUGCUAAUUUGAUAUUUUUAUUAGUGAAUGUGAAUGGAAUUUCUUGAUCAUGUAGUAUCAGCUGUGUUUCUAGUUGCACAGGGAUCUGAUGUUGUAAAAAACGAAAGUGGCGCCAUAACUUGUGUAGAUGUUGAUGCAAUUGAAUGUGGGAAUAGUUCUAACAAUGCUACUACAUGCGCUUCUUUGGAAGCGGUUAGAGAGGAGUCUACCACCAAAGAAGGCAAUUCUCACCCAGAUUCUGAUUUCCCGUCAGAAUCUCUGAGUCAUGAAAAAGACUCUUGUUCUAAGAUGGAAAAUUAUGAAUCCAAAAGCUCUUUUACUGAACCGGAGGGAGGGGUUUCAUGCCAUGAAGCACCGUUGCCUGAGAAAAUCCAAUCUAAUUGUGCCCUUGCAGGCUCUCCUUCUAAUGUACUUCGGCUUUUCAAUUUUCAUAUAUUUACUAAAUUGCAAUUUUUUUUCCUUCUCUUCCUUUGUCAUUAUAUUCAAAUUCAUGUUUUCUUUGUUGGAAAACCAUUUAGAAUGUACCGAAAUCAAAUGCUGAUGGAAGCAUGAAUGAGAGUUCUCCAUCACCUCCUGCUUCUAAUGCUGCAAAGAAUGGUGCUAUUUUAAAUGGCCACUCAUCAAACAAUCAUUUCAGAGCAUCAGAAAUGGAUAUCAUAAACAUUGCAGUUGAUUAUGUUGUAUAUCGGGAUAACUACUGUACCGGGUGCCUGGUAACUUUUUCUUGUGUUGGCAUUAAAAUAAGUGGUACGCCCACAUAUGGAGACCAGGGAACCUUUAGCUUUGAAAGGGGAAUUGAUGAUAUUAUUCGUAUUGAGUCUCAGCAUCUUCAAAGGUUUGGAACCGUCACUGUUAAGCUCCACUUACUAUCGAAGGAUGCUGCACAAUCAACUAAUGCCUAUGGGGUUGAGCAGCUGGAGUUUGCAAUUUAUGAGCCCAACUGGUCUGGGAAAUUGGAGGAGAUUGCAUCUCUGAAUAUUAAAUAUUUAGCUUUAUCUGCCAUGGUGCAUGAGAAUGUCUCAAUGGAUGAAAGAUCUGACUUGCUUCGACAGAGGCCUUAUUUUCCAAUUUUUGAUGAGGCUGUUGAAGAUGUUGUCUAUCCAAAAGGGGAUUCAGAUGCAGUUUCCAUUUGUAAGAGAGAUUUUGAUCUACUACAACCGGAGACAUUUAUCAAUGAUACCAUUAUUGACUUCUAUAUCAAGUAUUUAAAGAAUCAGAUUCCACCUGAGGAGAAGCAUAGGUUCCAUUUUUUUAAUAGCUUUUUCUUUCGGAAGCUUGCGGAUCUAGACAAAGAUCCAUCCAGUGCUUCAGAUGGUAGGGCUGCUUUUUUACGUGUUCAUAAAUGGACAAGGAAAGUGGACAUGUUUGGAAAAGACUAUGUUUUCGUCCCUGUAAAUUUCAAUCUUCAUUGGAGUUUAUUGGUAAUAUGUCAUCCUGGUGAAGUGGCUGGUUUGAAAGGUGAGUUCUUGCUGGAUUUAUGAUGAUCUGUUUGGAAAUCAGUGAUCCUUCAUAGAUUUGUACUGUAUUACAGAUGAAGACUUGGGGAAUUACUUGAGAGUACCAUGCAUAUUGCACAUGGAUUCUAUUAAAGGAACUCAUGCAGGUCUCAAAAACCUUGUUCAAAGUUAUCUAUGGGAAGAGUGGAAAUCGAGGCAAAAGGAGGCAUCAGAAGACUUAUCUUCAAAAUUUUUGAAUUUGCGGUUUGUCCAACUUGAGUUGCCACAGCAGGAAAAUUCAUUUGAUUGCGGCCUGUUCCUGCUCCACUACCUGGAGUUAUUUUUGGCGGAGGCUCCUGUGAAUUUCACCCCAUUCAAAAUAAACGAGUUCUCCAAGUUUCUUAAUGUGGAUUGGUUUCCCCCUGCUGAGGCAUCUCUGAAGCGUACUCUUAUCCAGAGACUAAUUUCUGAGCUCCUAGAAAAUUGCCCUCGAGAACUCUCUUCUGGUGAUUGCAGUGAUGAACCAGAGUGUAGUUUGCCAGAAAAUAAUGAGAAAGAAACUAGAGUCCAGUUUGUUUCAGAGGAAUGCACUCCUGCUGUAGCUUGUCAUGGGAAUUUAUCAACUUCUGAUGCCAGUCAAGGGAUUGAAAUCACUCUGUUGGAAGCAUCUUCUGUGAGGAAUUCUGAUUGUGUCAAUGAUCCAGGCUUGGUUCUCAGGGAAUUCUUUGAGCCUGGAGUUGCUGCAGGGUCAUUACUUGCGCAUUGUUCAUCCUUUGACCAGCAAUCUUAUUACCGUCUUAAUGGUGCUAUGUCACAACAGAUUGAGAAUCAUGCAGAAACUGGAGAGCCGUUUGUUUAUUUCCCUUCUGGAGAUGUUUUGUUUCAACAAAUUGCUGGAAUUUCUAUGCAAGGAGAGGAUGAUGGCUCAUCCCCAGAAACAUCAAUAUGUGCCUCUGAUGAUUCUGAUGUAGGAAUUAUUGAAAAUUGUCCUGUUGAGAAAGAUUUGGAUUUAGCUCAAGAAGAGAAAAUUGAUCAACAAAUGUCUCUUUCAAUGGAAAAAAUUGAGUUAUUGACAGAGAAACUUGCUACAAGUUCUAGUGAGAUGCUGGAGACCUCUGCCAUUAAAAGUACUGAAGACCCUGAUAGGAUGCAUGACGCCAAUAAGAAUGGCGACCUUGCCUUGUGUCAAGAAAAUCCAACUACAUUGCAUAAAGACACUGACAUGGUAGAAAAUGGGUUGCAUCAAGACUCAGAACAAACAGAGAUCAUUGGUGAUGAUGUGGUGGCAGAAUCAGAUGAGAAGCAAAUGAUCGAGGUUAAUGUGAUGGCAGAAUCAGAAGAACAGCAAGCUGCAAAAAGGAGUCGGGUUACACCUCCAGAAGAAGGGGAGAGAGAUACCAUUGGAAGCCUGUCAAAGGAUCUCCAUUUGUAAUUUAGGAUGUAGGUGGAGCUGUCCUCUUAGAUUUUUGUUAACAUAAUUGUGAACCUGGAUCUCACUAGAUUUUGAUAUGCCAUUCUGUGAAUAGUGCCAUGGCCAUAUUUUAACAUUCAUUAGCUUGGGUUGUCUUGUAGGAAAAAGGAGAAAAUUGCAUCAAGUUCUUUUGUUAAUAAUUAAGCGACCAGAAUAUUUUUGGGCCUAGCAAAGGGAAUUAAAAUUCUUCUAGUUCAGGACUACAAGUUGUACUUUGCAAUUAUGUAAUGGUGAGCCUUUAGCUGCUUUGCAAAGAAGUACCAUUUUUUCCUCUGAAAUAGAACCCACAACCAUUGGAGGAAAAUGUAAUAUAAAUGCUUGAUUUAUGUUAUGAAUUUCAUUGGCUAAAAUUGGAAGCAAA
Molecule: unclassified non-coding RNA, 5156 nt
Filed under: Hevea brasiliensis (rubber tree)
Lineage: Eukaryota; Viridiplantae; Streptophyta; Magnoliopsida; Malpighiales; Euphorbiaceae
Source: RNAcentral